RNAcentral lists this ribosomal RNA (492 nucleotides) under uncultured bacterium. RNAcentral describes it as "partial 16S ribosomal RNA". It matches the Rfam family "Bacterial small subunit ribosomal RNA", at positions 29 to 507 of the family's 1533-position model. The record is from RNAcentral.
AGUGAACGCUGGCGGUAGGCCUAACACAUGCAAGUCGAACGGCAGCACAGUAAGAGCUUGCUCUUACGGGUGGCGAGUGGCGGACGGGUGAGGAAUACAUCGGAAUCUACUUUUUCGUGGGGGAUAACGUAGGGAAACUUACGCUAAUACCGCAUACGACCUACGGGUGAAAGCAGGGGAUGUUCGGACCUUGCGCGAUUGAAUGAGCCGAUGUCGGAUUAGCUAGUUGGCGGGGUAAAGGCCCACCAAGGCGACGAUCCGUAGCUGGUCUGAGAGGAUGAUCAGCCACACUGGAACUGAGACACGGUCCAGACUCCUACGGGAGGCAGCAGUGGGGAAUAUUGGACAAUGGGCGCAAGCCUGAUCCAGCCAUACCGCGUGGGUGAAGAAGGCCUUCGGGUUGGAAAGCCCUUUUGUUGGGAAAGAAAAGCAGCAGGUUAAUACCCCGCUGUUCUGACGGUACCCAAAGAAUAAGCACCGGCUAACUUCGUG